GAUGAACGCUGGCGGCGCGCCUAACACAUGCAAGUCGAACGGAUAAAGCACCUUUUGGGUGUGUAUAAGGGGGCGAAAGGCUGAGUAAACCGUUGGCUACCUUCCCCUCUCUUGUGGAAUGCCUCCGGAAACCGAGGACAAUACCCGAAACUUCGAUGUGGCCGCAUGACGAGGUUUGGAAAGCUUUUGCGGGUAGGGAUGGGCCCGCGGCCUGUCAGCUUGUUGGUGGGGUAGAGGCCUACCAAGGCAAUGAAGGGUAGCUGGGUUGAGAGGCUGACCAGCCAGCUUGGGACCGAGACACGGCCCAGACUCCUACGGGGGGCAGCCGUGGGGAAUCUUGCACCAUGGGCGAGAGGCCGAAGCAGCGACGCCGCGGGCGGGACGAACGGCUUCGGGGUGUAAACCGGUUUUAGCAGGGACGGAGGGGUAAGUGACGGUACCUGCAGAAGAAGCCCCGGCUAGCUACGUG
This 469-nucleotide ribosomal RNA is filed under the name uncultured bacterium. RNAcentral's name for it is "partial 16S ribosomal RNA". It matches the Rfam family "Bacterial small subunit ribosomal RNA", at positions 28 to 507 of the family's 1533-position model. The record is from RNAcentral.